CUGUGAAAACUGUCACUGCCAGUGGACACCACCAGUGCCUGGCACGAUCGAUUUGCAUACGGCGUUUGCAAUUGAUGUUUUUAGGUCAUAUGAAGACUUCAAAAUCAGCUGUCCUGACACGCUUUCACCCGAAUGCUGGAAAGUUGCUCAGUUCAUGCUGGCAGGGUCGGGUCUGGUGAGAUUUUCCAAAGAAGUUUCUUAGAGUGGACAUACUGCCGUCACAAAAUUGAAAAAUUGCUUGGAGAUGACCAUUUCUCAUGUCCUGCCUGUGGAGAUGAUAUUGUUGCACUGAGCCUUGAUGGCAACAGAAAACUUUAUUGUUUCAAUCGUAAAGGGACUGAUGAAAGCCUAUACUUUGAACGGACCUUCAUC
Amphiprion ocellaris (clown anemonefish) is the source of this 372-nucleotide long non-coding RNA. RefSeq lists it as uncharacterized. The transcript is spliced from 3 exons. Lineage: Eukaryota; Metazoa; Chordata; Actinopteri; Pomacentridae. The record is from RefSeq and is a predicted model, not a curated record.